CCGCUGUGAUGAUGGAUUCCAAAACCAUUCGUAGUUUCCACCAGAAGUUUCAUGUUGGCCAGUUCCUUCCUUGGAUGUCUGAGCGA
Cavia aperea (Brazilian guinea pig) is the source of this 86-nucleotide small nucleolar RNA. Its record names the gene SNORD14. It matches the Rfam family "Small nucleolar RNA SNORD14". Rfam says of the family: U14 small nucleolar RNA (U14 snoRNA) is required for early cleavages of eukaryotic precursor rRNAs. In yeasts, this molecule possess a stem-loop region (known as the Y-domain) which is essential for function. NCBI's taxonomy places the organism in Eukaryota, Metazoa, Chordata, Mammalia, Rodentia, Caviidae. The record is from Ensembl.